GAUGAACGCUGGCGGCGUGCCUAAUACAUGCAAGUCGAGCGGACGGACGAGAAGCUUGCUUCUUUGAUGUUAGCGGCGGACGGGAGUGACACACGUGGAUCAUCUCCCUAACAUUCUGGGAUCACCUCGGGACACCGGCUAUAAUCCCGUAUAAUAUUUUGCACCGCAUGGUUCAAAGGUGAAAUACGGUCUUGCUGGCGGUUUGCGAUGGCUGCGCGCUUUAUUAGCUAGUUGGUGGGGUAGUGGCUUACCACGGCUAUGACGGGUAGCCGGCCUGAGAGGGUGACCGGCCACAGUGGGACUGAGAUACGGCCCAGACUCCUACGGGAGGCAGCAGUGGGGAAUAUUGCACAAUGGGCGGAAGCCUGAUGCAGCAACGCCGCGUGCGGGAUGACGGCCUUCGGGUUGUAAACCGAUUUCGCCUGUGACGAAGCGUGAGUGACGGUAAUGGGUAAAGAAGCACCGGCUAACUACGUG
RNAcentral lists this ribosomal RNA (477 nucleotides) under uncultured bacterium. RNAcentral describes it as "partial 16S ribosomal RNA". It matches the Rfam family "Bacterial small subunit ribosomal RNA", at positions 28 to 507 of the family's 1533-position model. The record is from RNAcentral.